Long non-coding RNA from Galleria mellonella (greater wax moth), 3264 nucleotides. RefSeq lists it as uncharacterized. The transcript has 3 exons. The record is from RefSeq and is a predicted model, not a curated record. Lineage: Eukaryota; Metazoa; Arthropoda; Insecta; Lepidoptera; Pyralidae.
CUCAGCUCAAUAUACGCGGUUUCUCAAUUUGAUUGGUGAGACCCGAUUAUAGGCCAAUUAAACCGAUCGGCUAUUGCCCACGACAUAUACAAAAACACUUCACUGGCCGAUUUCCAAGGACCACAAAGAUAUAAAGGUUACGAUGUCAUAUCGGUUCAAAAACUCUUGCUAGAAGUUGAAUCUAAAGAGUGAUUAUGCUUGAAUGAAUGUACUUUAAAAAAACCGCCACUUAACCAGAUGGUUGGGAUUGAACUUUAGUCUGUGGCGGGUUGUGCGGUGGUGAAAAUCAGCAGCAGGUAUCAAUCCGAAGAACUCAUCAGAGCAUUACCCAUGAUAAAUUCGGUAAAAGAUGCACAAAGAUGCAACAUCUCUACGCAGUUUCAGUGGGUCGAGUCAGAUAGCAAGGCACCGACUUCGAAUGCGGUCCAAUGGAAGGAGCUGAUACUUUACCAAUAAUAUAAUGACAUAACCGCAAAACUGUACGUCGCUGGACAUAUCAACGCUAAGUAUCCCUAGACUUAACUUAUUAUCAAGGGGAGUGCUCCUGAAAAUGAAGAGAUACCUACAACAAACAGCGUAAAUUUUUAGUUUCAAACGUGACAUCACAUGAGGAACACGAUUAACGGUACAACAAAGUUUCCUAAAAUCUGUAUGACAUUGUUUAUGUCAAGAUACUGAAACACUUCGGCAAAUAAAUCUGAAAUUUUAUUUGCAAAUAUCAGACAAGUAUAAAAAAAUAUGAUGGUAUUCGAAGAAAAGAUAUGUGGAUAAGAAUGAUCAAUUGAAGCAGCAUUUUUGUACUAAUAUGGCCAAUUUAGGUAACCUAAAAACAAAUUUACCUAGCCGAUAAAAAAUGAUUACAAGAAGCAAUCACAGUAUAGAACAAAUGUACUUUAAUAUUUUUUAUACAGUUCCAUUAAAAUGGUUACGUAUAUUAAUUACAAAUCAAUGUGACUGUAUUUAAUACAACUAUAAUAAUAGAGCCACAUUAUUAUAAUAAAAAAUGUAAAGUAGAAAAUCAUCUUUCACAGUUCCACAAUUCGAAUACCAAGAUGGUUGAAAAAAAAAGUAUAGAUUUAUUAAUGGAUGAAUAUGAUAUAGUAAGGCUAAGAAACAAGCGUAGAAAUCAUGUAGGUAAUAGUAAACAAUUACACGAAGAAAUUUUAUUAACUGCCUUUAAAAGAACUCUCGCUGUAAUCCCUAAGGAAAAUCCACACUUGGUUGUGGAAUGAGAUUCCAUAAGGCAUAAAGAAACUUUUCCAAAAUGUAAAUUCUCAGAUGUGGCUUAUUCCCUAGUGAUGGCGAGCAUAGCAUUGAUAGAUAAUGGCUAUUAUCAUCAUGACCAAUUAUUUAUGUAGUAGACCACAGAAAGGAAGCCUCUUAAAAAAGACUCUCAGUCUCAAGAUUUUAAUACCGGUUAUGUAACCUGGAUUGUCAAUAGGUACAAACUCUGAAAUGUUGGAUCUUAGGUGACAUCUACUCGGAUAUUUCUACCCAAAAAGUUGGUUCCAAACUAUUUAUCAAAAAUUGUUUUAGCGAAUAACUAGACUAGUUGUAGAUACCUUGUUCUGAAUAAGUAAUACAAAUAACCUAUGUUGACAUACACGUAACCAUAACCAACUUAAUAACGAGGCAGAAAGCGGUCGUUCAGGCGCAAGUUUCGCGCCCUGCGCCCAACUUUAGACGCCAAACAACACGCUACUCACCCGAGAAAGAAAUGAAAAGGAGAGAUAGUGUUAAGACACUUAAGUGGGACAGAGACAACAAAACGGUCGCGGAAUGCGGCGCACUUAAUUUUUGUAACGGACUGCGGGUCGAAAAGCGCGCGUCGCAGCCGAGAGGGCCAAUGUAGUACGGGCCAGGGGCAAGAGCGGGGGGGAAGUCGGCUGUAGUACGACGGCCCGCGCUUCUCGUAAAGGAAGCGACCCUGGCGCGGUCAUUGCUCGCCGCGGCCGCAUUCCUCUCCCCCGCCCCUCCGCAAACCUCCGCGGCGCCUGCGCAUCAAUGAACGGCGCGCGCGCAACUAGCACGUCCACUCACACUAUCUCAUUCCUGCGACUGUUCUUUUCAUCUCUUUCCUCGUCCAUCAUCAUGUUAUCUGUGUAACUACACUGAUAGCUCUAUUAUUGCACAUCAACACUGACCCGUCAUUUAAGGAAGCUCAUAUAAACUAUUAUUGACAAAUUACUCAUCUAUUACUGCAGUCUACCCAAUCAUUGCAAAUUCACAUAAAAAAUCAACGAAACAAUUCAAAGUUCAAUAUCGUAUUCAAGUCAAAUAUAGAGUUAUAGGAGGCAGUAAAAAUAAAAUUACAGGAUGUCAUUAUUAUUUUAGGAAUUCGUUACCUUGACUAUAUCCAUACUGAAGGUCGAUUUGAUAACGAAUAUGGAAACAUGUUGGUUGGUAGAGGCAUAUCUAAGAGGAGCCAUUUCAAUCUAAAUACUCGUAUUAGAAAAUUUUUAACAAAAAAAAUCUGCACUGAAAUUAGUUAAUACAUUUGAAAAACGUACUUGACAGAACUCUAAAAUGAAUCCCAUAUUUUACGACGCAGUAUUCCGCUAUUUUAUUACGCAAUAUAUAUACUAUUCCUUUAAUCGCAAAUAUAUUUUUUGAAAUUGGAUCACUAUUGCCACUUAUAAAAUUAAUAAUCUGCGACAAAGGGCCACUUCCUAUAAUUGGGAUUAUAUGACGAAAUUUUUUAUCUCCUAAACAUAAUUCAUCAUUUAUUUGUGAAAAUAUGUAAUUAGUCAAUUCGGAAAAUCUAUACUAAACACCACCCGGACAACACUCGUCCUUCAACCGUAUCUCAAAUAUUAUAUUAUAUAUUUAAAAUGAGGAUACUUAACAUAAUUACCUACUAUAACAAUAAGUAAAUUUCAUACUUCAUCCCAAUUCAAACUUCACAAACCAAGAAUUAACAAUUUAUAAUUUCUAUCUUCAGUUAUUCACUCAUUGAGUGUUGUGUGGUUACAUAAAGUUUUAAAAAAAAUAUAACGCUUUACACCAAAUUCAACUACAAAUAGGCUAUAAAAUAAGUUAUUUAAGAUUAGAGAGUAGUUAUUAAAAAGUAGAUCAUACUUGUAGGUAUGUGAAAUCCUUUUUUAAUAGUCAAAAUCUCAAUUUAGCGACUCUGCCUACGCAAAAAAUAAAAUAUGCUAGUAAAUACUCGUCAUUUUUUCGUUUUUGUAAGCAGUUUUUUGUAACUGCACUAAUACUAAAAAUCAACUUAAUUCAAUUGUAAUAUAUUUUUAAUUAUGUCAACAA